This 430-nucleotide ribosomal RNA is filed under the name Pseudomonadota bacterium. Its description in RNAcentral is "Proteobacteria bacterium partial 16S ribosomal RNA". It matches the Rfam family "Bacterial small subunit ribosomal RNA", at positions 355 to 776 of the family's 1533-position model. Lineage: Bacteria; Pseudomonadati; Pseudomonadota. The record is from RNAcentral.
UGGGGAAUAUUGGACAAUGGGCGCAAGCCUGAUCCAGCCAUGCCGCGUGUGUGAAGAAGGCCUUAUGGUUGUAAAGCACUUUAAGCGAGGAGGAGGCUACUUUAGUUAAUACCUAGAGAUAGUGGACGUUACUCGCAGAAUAAGCACCGGCUAACUCUGUGCCAGCAGCCGCGGUAAUACAGAGGGUGCAAGCGUUAAUCGGAAUUACUGGGCGUAAAGCGCGCGUAGGUGGUUCGUUAAGUUGAAUGUGAAAGCCCCGGGCUCAACCUGGGAAAUGCAUCCAAAACUGGCGAGCUAGAGUAGGGCAGAGGGUGGUGGAAUUUCCUGUGUAGCGGUGAAAUGCGUAGAUAUAGGAAGGAACACCAGUGGCGAAGGCGACCACCUGGGCUCAUACUGACACUGAGGUGCGAAAGCGUGGGGAGCAAACAGG